AUUGAACGCUGGCGGCAGGCCUAACACAUGCAAGUCGAGCGGAGCGGCGGACGGGUGAGUAAUGCCUAGGAAUCUGCCUGGUAGUGGGGGAUAACGUCCGGGAACGGGCGCUAAUACCGCAUACUAUCAGAUGAGCCUAGGUCUGAGUAGCUAGUUGGUGGGGUAAAGGCCUACCAAGGCGACGACCCGUAACUGGGCUGAGAGGAUGAUCAGUCACACUGGAACUGGGACACGGUCCGGAAUCCUACGGGAGGCGGCAGUGGGGAAUGUUGGACAAUGGGCGAAAGCCUGACGCAGCCAUGCGGCGGAUUGUAAGAAGGUUUUCGGGUUUUAAAGCACUUUGAGUUGGGAGGCGUUACCAACAGAAUAAGCGACGGCUAACUUCGUGCCAGCAGCCGCGGUAAUAC
RNAcentral lists this ribosomal RNA (407 nucleotides) under uncultured bacterium. Its description in RNAcentral is "partial 16S ribosomal RNA". It matches the Rfam family "Bacterial small subunit ribosomal RNA", at positions 30 to 526 of the family's 1533-position model. The record is from RNAcentral.